AUUGAACGCUGGCGGCAUGCUUUACACAUGCAAGUCGAACGGCAGCGCGGGCUUCGGCCUGGCGGCGAGUGGCGAACGGGUGAGUAAUGCAUCGGAACGUGCCCAGUAGUGGGGGAUAGCACGGCGAAAGCAGGAUUAAUACCGCAUACGACCUGAGGGUGAAAGCGGGGGACCGAAAGGCCUCGCGCUAUUGGAGCGGCCGAUGUCGGAUUAGCUAGUUGGUGGGGUAAAGGCUUACCAAGGCGACGAUCCGUAGCUGGUCUGAGAGGACGACCAGCCACACUGGGACUGAGACACGGCCCAGACUCCUACGGGAGGCAGCAGUGGGGAAUUUUGGACAAUGGGGGCAACCCUGAUCCAGCCAUGCCGCGUGCGGGAAGAAGGCCUUCGGGUUGUAAACCGCUUUUGUUCGGGAAGAAAUCCUCUGGGCUAAUACCCCGGGGGGAUGACGGUACCGGAAGAAUAAGCACCGGCUAACUACGUG
This 484-nucleotide ribosomal RNA is filed under the name uncultured bacterium. RNAcentral describes it as "partial 16S ribosomal RNA". It matches the Rfam family "Bacterial small subunit ribosomal RNA", at positions 29 to 507 of the family's 1533-position model. The record is from RNAcentral.